RNAcentral lists this ribosomal RNA (119 nucleotides) under Oryza rufipogon (brownbeard rice). The record is from RNAcentral. Lineage: Eukaryota; Viridiplantae; Streptophyta; Magnoliopsida; Poales; Poaceae.
GGAUGCGAUCAUACCAGCACUAAAGCACCGGAUCCCAUUAGAACUCCGAAGUUAAUAGUGCUUGGGCGAGAGUAGUACUAGGAUGGGUGACCUCCUGGGAAGUCCUCGUGUUGCAUUCC